Molecule: ribosomal RNA, 448 nt
Filed under: uncultured prokaryote
Description: bacterial SSU rRNA
Rfam family: Bacterial small subunit ribosomal RNA
Source: RNAcentral
UCGGGAAUCUUGCACAAUGGGCGAAAGCCUGAUGCAGCAACGCCGUGUGAGCGAGGAAGGUCUUCGGAUCGUAAAGCUCUGUUGUUGGGGACGAAGGGCGAAGGGUUAAUAGCCCCUAGCCUGACGGUACCCUUCGAGGAAGCCCCGGCUAACUACGUGCCAGCAGCCGCGGUAAUACGUAGGGGGCGAGCGUUGUCCGGACUUACUGGGCGUAAAGCGUCCGUAGGCGGUCCUGUGCGUCGGUGCUGAAAGCGCCCGGCUCAACCGGGCGAGGUGCGCCGAUACGAUGGGACUAGAGGUCGGCAGAGGGGGGCGGAAUGCCGGGUGUAGUGGUGAAAUGCGUAGAGAUCCGGCGGAACGCCAGUGGCGCAAGCGGCCCCCUGGGCCGAUGCUGACGCUGAGGGACGAAAGCGUGGGGAGCGAACCGGAUUAGAUACCCGCGUAGUCC